RNAcentral lists this long non-coding RNA (396 nucleotides) under Nicotiana benthamiana. RNAcentral's name for it is "long non-coding RNA (NBEN_LNC032510)". Lineage: Eukaryota; Viridiplantae; Streptophyta; Magnoliopsida; Solanales; Solanaceae. The record is from RNAcentral.
GUCUCCUCUUCUUCUAAUACAAUUGGCAAUUUGAUCAAAAGACUAAGAGCCUCUUCACAAGCUCUAAACGUGACAAAAUCCGAGCUUUCGAUUAAAAUUUGUUGAAUAAUCCUAACAAGAAUCUCAACUCCACCACAUAUUUUGAAAUCAUCCUUCACAUCAUGAUCACCUGCUAAAACAAUUGACUUGAGUUUCUUUAAAGAACUUACCUUAAAAGGGCUCGAUUCAAUCGUAUUGAGCAACGAAACGAGCUCCUCGUGUUUGUUCCUCAACUCCACCACAUGUUUUGAAAUCAUCCGUCACAUCAUGAUCACCUACUUCAACAAUUGACUUGAGUUUCUUUAAAGAACUUACCUUAAAAGGGCUCGAUUCAAUCGUAUUGAGCAACGAAACAAG